GUCAAUCAUUUGGCUUGUCGGCACCGGUGCGACGGGUUGGCUAUCGGUCCCAAUGCCGGGUGUUUGCCAGAGUAUGGUCGGAGGAGUAAGCUCCUCCAUGAAAUAAUGCAAUUUAGAGAUGUUUGAUUCUAAGGCCCUGAGAAGCAAUUGGGUCGGGCUGCGGCAGGCUGAGGUGCGCUGAAUGGUCCAAAACAUGUUUGAAUUGAGCCAGAGAAGUGAACAAGCAGACUCCAAAACAUGUUUGAAUUGAGCCAGAGAAGUGAACAAGCAGACUCCGGUGAGGAGGUUGUCAGCGCCGCCACAAACAUGGUCAGCUUGAUGGUGGUGAGCCGUUGCAUGUUCGAGGUCAAGGGAGAGUAAGUCGAGCGAGUUCAAACAAAUAGUGGCAAAGCUCAUGACAGACCGCGGCGAUGGUGAACAUGGGGUACCACGUUCCGAAAGUAGCCUGGAUGGACGUGCAGGGCACCGAACGCCGCACGAAGGAGGUUCCACGCAAUGCUCAGUCGGAUUGUGGCUUGGAUGCCGUCUUGGCUCAAUGCGAAGGCUCCGGCAGCAAGGACUGCAGAGAGCGGCUCAUCGACAGCAACGUCAAAGCUCUACUGCUGGUUAUUUAGUUGGUGCUCUUGUGCUAUGUUUGCCGCCUAUAAUUUAUAAAGCGGAUUAGAUAUUUUUCAUUCAAUUAGUAUUUUCAAUCUAAAUUUUGCCCGGCGCCAAAUGUUGUCUAUAAUUAUAAUUAUUAUUGUUUUUUUUUUUUUUGGUUGGCUAGGUGUUGUGGAUUGGAAAUAAAUUUGGCUCACUACGGAUGCAUCUCUACUCUGUUAACUCUUGUGUAGAAAAACAAGCAAUAAUUUGGAGUUUAAAAAAAGAAAAAGAAAAUAAGGGAUGCAAUUUUUAACUCAUUCAGUGAGACGUGAUACAAUACGAUUGGAUGGUCACUUUUUACAGUAAGAUGCGAGACUGCCAGAAAACGAAGACCGUCAGAUUCGACAUGAACGGACGUGAUUCGUUCAGCGCCGAAACAUCAACCCUGCUCACGCAUCCAUCAAAGCACGCGCACCGGUAACUGGCGUAACUUCCCUGCCGAGCUGGUUACCAUCUAAACGAAACCG
RNAcentral lists this long non-coding RNA (1109 nucleotides) under Ananas comosus (pineapple). RNAcentral's name for it is "long non-coding RNA (ACOM_LNC006513)". Lineage: Eukaryota; Viridiplantae; Streptophyta; Magnoliopsida; Poales; Bromeliaceae. The record is from RNAcentral.